CGUUGACGGUACCGUAAGAAUAAGGACCGGCUAACUCCGUGCCAGCAGCCGCGGUAAUACGGAGGGUCCGAGCGUUAUCCGGAAUCAUUGGGUUUAAAGGGUCCGUAGGCGGGCCUGUAAGUCAGGGGUGAAAGUUUGUGGCUCAACCAUAAAAUUGCCUUUGAUACUGCAGGUCUUGAGUCAUGGUGGGGUUGCCGGAACAUGUGGUGUAGCGGUGAAAUGCAUAGAUAUCACAUAGAACACCGAUCGCGAAGGCAGGUGACCAACCAUGUACUGACGCUGAUGGACGAAAGCGUGGGUAGCGAACGGGAUUAGAUACCCCGGUAGUCCACGCCGUAAACGAUGGAUACUAGCUGUGGGGACUUCGGUCUCCGUGGCCAAGCGAAAGUGAUAAGUAUCCCACCUGGGGAGUACGUUCGCAAGAAUGAAACUCAAAGGAAUUGACGGGGGCCCGCACAAGCGGUGGAGCAUGUGGUUUAAUUCGAUGAUACGCGAGGAACCUUACCAGGGCUUAAAUGCAGGCUGCAUGGGGUAGAGAUACCCCUUUCUUCGGACCGCCUGCAAGGUGCUGCAUGGUUGUCGUCAGCUCGUGCCGUGAGGUGUCAGGUUAAGUCCUAUAACGAGCGCAACCCCUACCGUUAGUUGCCAGCAUGUCAAGAUGGGGACUCUAACGGGACUGCCGGUGCAAACCGUGAGGAAGGUGGGGACGACGUCAAAUCAUCACGGCCCUUACGUCCUGGGCUACACACGUGCUACAAUGGCCGGUACAGAGGGAAGCCACCCCGCAAGGGGGCGCGGAUCUACAAAACCGGUCACAGUUCGGAUCGGGGUCUGCAACUCGACCCCGUGAAGCUGGAAUCGCUAGUAAUCGGAUAUCAGCCAUGAUCCGGUGAAUACGUUCCCGGGCCUUGUACACACCGCCCGUCAAGCCA
RNAcentral lists this ribosomal RNA (932 nucleotides) under Flagellimonas marinaquae. RNAcentral describes it as "bacterial SSU rRNA". It matches the Rfam family "Bacterial small subunit ribosomal RNA", at positions 467 to 1404 of the family's 1533-position model. The record is from RNAcentral. Lineage: Bacteria; Pseudomonadati; Bacteroidota; Flavobacteriia; Flavobacteriales; Flavobacteriaceae.